Hibiscus syriacus is the source of this 151-nucleotide long non-coding RNA. RefSeq lists it as uncharacterized. NCBI's taxonomy places the organism in Eukaryota, Viridiplantae, Streptophyta, Magnoliopsida, Malvales, Malvaceae. The record is from RefSeq and is a predicted model, not a curated record. The transcript is spliced from 3 exons.
AAAUUUUUAACCACUCUACAGCAGAUUGUAUGAAAUUGAGUCACUUAAAUGAAGGGAAGAGCUACGUACAGCUGCAUAUUUAUCAACCAAUGGACGGAAAGCAGGGUCAGACAGGAGAACUUUGUCGGUUGGUAGCUGAAGAAGGCCUUCC